Molecule: long non-coding RNA, 447 nt
Filed under: Ananas comosus (pineapple)
Lineage: Eukaryota; Viridiplantae; Streptophyta; Magnoliopsida; Poales; Bromeliaceae
Description: long non-coding RNA (ACOM_LNC039543)
Source: RNAcentral
GAACUUUUCCACACUUCGUGGAGGGUCGUGGAUAGUGUUCCAACCUAUGGUUUGAGUCCCGAGAAUUGAGGUUCAAAACUUGGCACCAAAAUCCAAAAUUUUGGAUUAUUGGUGUGCUCUCGAGUAGCUGUCUGCAAGGUGGCGUACCGGUAAGCGAUGAUUGCUGUACCGGUACAGCCAUCGCCGCUGGCCGCCAAUGCGCCAACCCGAGGCUCGGGUUGGGCUGGUUCGCAGGUUGUGUACCGGUACACAAACCCGUGUACCGGUACACAAUGCUGAUUGGGCUGUUUCGGGGAGGGGUGUAUUUGCAAUUGUUACAACACCUAUAUAGUGACCCCAGCCCCCUUAGCUGCUCUUUUUGAGCCCUAACCAGUGGAGAUCAAGGUGAGUCCCCCCUUCCCUUAUUUGAUCUCCAUUUUUGGUGGAUUUUAUGGUGUUUUGAUUUCU